Molecule: ribosomal RNA, 455 nt
Filed under: uncultured Sphingobacteriales bacterium
Lineage: Bacteria; Pseudomonadati; Bacteroidota; Sphingobacteriia; Sphingobacteriales
Description: bacterial SSU rRNA
Rfam family: Bacterial small subunit ribosomal RNA
Source: RNAcentral
ACAAGCGGAGGAGCAUGCGGUUUAAUCGAUGAUACGCGAGGAACCUUACCUGGGCUCGAACGUAAGAUGACUGUAGGUGAAAGCUUACAUCUCUUCGGAGCAUUUUACGAGGUGCUGCAUGGUUGUCGUCAGCUCGUGCCGUGAGGUGUCGGGUUAAGUCCCAUAACGAGCGCAACCCUACCUUUAGUUGCCAUCAGGUAAUGCUGGGGACUCUAAAGGAACUGCCUACGCAAGUAGUGAGGAAGGCGGGGAUGACGUCAAAUCAGCACGGCCCUUACGUCCAGGGCUACACACGUGCUACAAUGGCCGAUACAGAGGGCAGCUACCUGGUGACAGGAUGCAAAUCUCCAAAGUCGGCCUCAGUUCGGAUCGGAGUCUGCAACCCGACUCCGUGAAGUUGGAUUCGCUAGUAAUCGCGCAUCAGCCAUGGCGCGGUGAAUACGUUCCCGGGCCUU